Molecule: unclassified non-coding RNA, 399 nt
Filed under: fungal sp.
Lineage: Eukaryota; Fungi
Description: partial internal transcribed spacer region
Rfam family: Eukaryotic small subunit ribosomal RNA (bases 1-46)
Source: RNAcentral
AAGUCGUAACAAGGUCUCCGUAGGUGAACCUGCGGAGGGAUCAUUAACACGUUCCAAAACGUUCAACCAAACUUCGUCAUGUGAACUUAUAUCCUCCCUGAAAUAAGAAAACUAUUGCUGUUGUUGGCAAAUCUCGUGGUGGGUGCAAACGUAGCUUCGUCUACCUUGCACGAUUUGCUCAAUGACUGUGAGGCGCUUCGGUGACCUCAGGGCAUUUCUUAUUUUGGGAUUUUCACUGCCACGGUUUUCUUAACCCCUUUCACUUCGAUUCUGCUGAAAGCCUUUUCACAAAGGCCGAUCAGGGUCUAUAAAAAUUGACUAACAAUUUUUGCUGUUGAAAAACAGUGAAUUCAUAAAAGAACCAAAGCACAACUCUUAGCAACGGAUAUCUUGGUUCUC